RNAcentral lists this transfer RNA (71 nucleotides) under Candidatus Phelpsiimicrobium noxiivivens. RNAcentral describes it as "Candidatus Omnitrophica bacterium CG1_02_44_16 tRNA-Gly". It matches the Rfam family "tRNA". Rfam says of the family: Transfer RNA (tRNA) molecules are approximately 80 nucleotides in length. Their secondary structure includes four short double-helical elements and three loops (D, anti-codon, and T loops). RNAcentral also lists the same sequence under 3 other names. The record is from RNAcentral. Lineage: Bacteria; Pseudomonadati; Candidatus Omnitrophota.
GCGAGCGUAGUUCAGUGGUAGAACACCAGCUUCCCAAGCUGGUUAUGUGGGUUCGAUUCCCAUCGCUCGCU